RNAcentral lists this transfer RNA (73 nucleotides) under Pirellulales bacterium. RNAcentral describes it as "tRNA-Arg". It matches the Rfam family "tRNA". From Rfam's summary of the family: Transfer RNA (tRNA) molecules are approximately 80 nucleotides in length. Their secondary structure includes four short double-helical elements and three loops (D, anti-codon, and T loops). Further hydrogen bonds mediate the characteristic L-shaped molecular structure. tRNAs have two regions of fundamental functional importance: the anti-codon, which is responsible for specific mRNA codon recognition, and the 3' end, to which the tRNAs corresponding amino acid is attached (by aminoacyl-tRNA synthetases). tRNAs cope with the degeneracy of the genetic code in two manners: having more than one tRNA (with a specific anti-codon) for a particular amino acid; and 'wobble' base-pairing, i.e. permitting non-standard base-pairing at the 3rd anti-codon position. The record is from RNAcentral. Lineage: Bacteria; Pseudomonadati; Planctomycetota; Planctomycetia; Pirellulales.
GCGCCCGUAGCUCAAUGGAUAGAGCAACGGACUUCUAAUCCGUAGGUUGCAGGUUCGAUCCCUGCCGGGCGUG